Molecule: ribosomal RNA, 474 nt
Filed under: uncultured bacterium
Lineage: Bacteria
Description: bacterial SSU rRNA
Rfam family: Bacterial small subunit ribosomal RNA
Source: RNAcentral
CCUACGGGAGGCAGCAGUGAGGAAUAUUGGACAAUGGGCGCAAGCCUGAUCCAGCCAUGCCGCGUGCAGGAAGACGGUCCUAUGGAUUGUAAACUGCUUUUGUACAGGAAGAAACACUCCCUCGUGAGGGAGCUUGACGGUACUGUAAGAAUAAGGAUCGGCUAACUCCGUGCCAGCAGCCGCGGUAAUACGGAGGAUCCAAGCGUUAUCCGGAAUCAUUGGGUUUAAAGGGUCCGUAGGCGGUUUAAUAAGUCAGUGGUGAAAUCUGGUCGCUCAACGAUCAAACGGCCAUUGAUACUGUUAGACUUGAAUUAUUAGGAAGUAACUAGAAUAUGUAGUGUAGCGGUGAAAUGCUUAGAUAUUACCAUGGAAUACCAAUUGCGAAGGCAGGUUACUACUAAUGGAUUGACGCUGAUGGACGAAAGCGUGGGGAGCGAACAGGAUUAGAUACCCUGGUAGUCCACGCCGUAAACG